GAUUUCUGCUUUAGUGGAGCCAGUCUACAUUUGUGGAGUAUAUCAACUUGUUAUUACGUGUUGUUCCCUCAGUACACAUGUAACCUGCUAUUCUCAUUAGAGUCAACCUGCAUCAAUUAGGUUUCUCGUGACGCAGUGCGUCUGAUGUCAUGACGUCUCCGCCUUCUCCAGAAUUUUCUACCUGCGGUUGAGACCACCAUUUUGAGAGGCACUUGGCUGCAGGCAGGACCUCGUGAACAAUUUGGUCAAUAAGGACUUUGGGUAGCGCUUCCUUUCCUUCCUGUCAACCUCUCCAGAGGGGUGUCUGCUGAUGGCAGAAAGAUUACAUCACCUCUGGUUGGAACCCUGGACAGUGCCACAACCUUUGGCUUGGUGUCCAAUGUGAUGCCCCAUCGCCACCUUCUGACCUAACUUCUUCUCAGCUCUGUGACUACUUCAAGAGGGGCAUUCCUGUGUGGAGGCGUGCCAGGCAGCUCGUUUUACCUGUGAACUUGCGUACUUUCACUUCAUCAACAACAAAGUGCUAUGCUUCAUGUGGAGAUGCAAGGACUGUGGGACAACAUUAACAAAAAGAUCUGAAUUGCUCAAACACUACAAACUGAUUCAUAGGCAUUACGGACGAGGCCACUCAUAUCCAUGCACUUAUUUAAAUUGUGCAUGUAGGUUCAAGACUUGGAACGCCCUACUGAGCCAUCUAUCAAGAAAUCACCCUGCCCAACAAGCAGUC
This is a long non-coding RNA of Oreochromis aureus, 727 nucleotides long. RefSeq lists it as uncharacterized. The record is from RefSeq and is a predicted model, not a curated record. The transcript has 3 exons. NCBI's taxonomy places the organism in Eukaryota, Metazoa, Chordata, Actinopteri, Cichliformes, Cichlidae.